RNAcentral lists this ribosomal RNA (696 nucleotides) under uncultured Bacteroidales bacterium. RNAcentral's name for it is "bacterial SSU rRNA". It matches the Rfam family "Bacterial small subunit ribosomal RNA", at positions 32 to 715 of the family's 1533-position model. The record is from RNAcentral. Lineage: Bacteria; Pseudomonadati; Bacteroidota; Bacteroidia; Bacteroidales.
AACGCUAGCUACAGGCUUAACACAUGCAAGUCGAGGGGAAACGAUAGAGAAAGCUUGCUUUUUCUAGGUGUCGACCGGCGCACGUGUGAGUAACGCGUAUCCAACCUACCCACCACUUGGGGAUAACCUUGCGAAAGUAAGACUAAUACCCAAUGAUAUCUCUAGAAGACAUCUGAAGGAGAUUAAAGAUUCAUCGGUGAUGGAUGGGGAUGCGUCUGAUUAGCUUGUUGGCGGGGUAACGGCCCACCAAGGCGACGAUCAGUAGGGGUUCUGAGAGGAAGGUCCCCCACAUUGGAACUGAGACACGGUCCAAACUCCUACGGGAGGCAGCAGUGAGGAAUAUUGGUCAAUGGGCGAGAGCCUGAACCAGCCAAGUAGCGUGCAGGAUGACGGCCCUAUGGGUUGUAAACUGCUUUUAUAAGGGAAUAAAGUGAGUCUCGUGAGACUUUUUGCAUGUACCUUAUGAAUAAGGACCGGCUAAUUCCGUGCCAGCAGCCGCGGUAAUACGGAAGGUCCGGGCGUUAUCCGGAUUUAUUGGGUUUAAAGGGAGCGUAGGCCGGAGAUUAAGCGUGUUGUGAAAUGUAGAUGCUCAACGUCUGCACUGCAGCGCGAACUGGUUUCCUUGAGUACGCACAAAGUGGGCGGAAUUCGUGGUGUAGCGGUGAAAUGCUUAGAUAUCACGAAGAACUCCGAUUG